UAUUGUCAUUCCUCUAGGAUCUUUUAUCAGGAGUCCUACAUUCUUGACUCCUGCCAGAUGGGGGCACUCACUGCCUUCUUAUUCCUCGUGUGCUCAGUGGACGUCCCUGAGAAGCGGGCUGACUCGCCACCAGAGGGCUUUGUCACCGCCCUUCAAACGAUCCUCAGGCACACAGACAGACAGACAGACAGAGGGAGUCCUGGAUGAAUGGCAAACCCUUCAGAUUCUAAUUUGUUUCUCAAUCAGUUGCUUCCUCGUGUGAAAUGAGGGGACAGACAGCUGAUCUUUCUGAGCUGCCCAUGGCUGGGACCACUGCCUCCAUUCCCAACACCCUGCUGGGGACCCCGCCUUCCAAAGAACAUGCCCCAGGCACACAGGUGAGCUCCCGCCAUGCACUCCCCGUGAAAGGGAAGCCGUCUGGAGGCAGUGUGGCACCUGAAGACGCUGGAGCUGCUGCUGUCAGGGACACACGCCCUGCCCAUUCAUCUGCCUUCUGCGCCGGGAGCCCCCGCAGAUGCGGAAGAUGCAGGGAAUGAUUCAGCCCCAGCCUUAAACAUCAAAUAGCAAAUGAAUAGCAUCAUAAGAAGUCAAGAGAAAGACCAUGGAAGAAAGAAGAAACUUUAACAGCGCUUUUUUCAUGAUCUUUGAACAAGGAGCUCUAAAUUAUCAUUUUGCACUGGCUCUGUCCCAGCUCAUGUUUGUUGAGUGAAUAAAUAAAUAAAUAAAUGCAUACAUACAUAUUUAUUAGUACAUGGAACACACUGAUUAUCUUCCAUUUCCUAACAACACUGUAUGUAAUCAGGAUUGCAGGCAUGUUAUGAAAUACUAGAAUAGCUGAAUAUUAAAAUUAUUCUGGAAUCA
This 861-nucleotide long non-coding RNA is filed under the name Homo sapiens (human). RNAcentral's name for it is "HSALNT0330966". The record is from RNAcentral. Lineage: Eukaryota; Metazoa; Chordata; Mammalia; Primates; Hominidae.